RNAcentral lists this ribosomal RNA (497 nucleotides) under uncultured bacterium. RNAcentral's name for it is "partial 16S ribosomal RNA". It matches the Rfam family "Bacterial small subunit ribosomal RNA", at positions 28 to 507 of the family's 1533-position model. The record is from RNAcentral.
GACGAACGCUGGCGGCGUGCCUAAUACAUGCAAGUUGAGCGCUGAAGGUUGGUACUUGUACCAACUGGAUGAGCAGCGAACGGGUGAGUAACGCGUGGGGAAUCUGCCUUUGAGCGGGGGACAACAUUUGGAAACGAAUGCUAAUACCGCAUAAAAACUUUAAACACAAGUUUUAAGUUUGAAAGAUGCAAUUGCAUCACUCAAAGAUGAUCCCGCGUUGUAUUAGCUAGUUGGUGAGGUAAAGGCUCACCAAGGCGAUGAUACAUAGCCGACCUGAGAGGGUGAGCGGCCACAUUGGGACUGAGACACGGCCCAAACGCCUACGGGAGGCAGCAGUAGGGAAUCUUCGGCAAGGGACGAAAGUCUGAGCGAGCAACGCCGAGUGAGGGAAGAAGGUUGUCGGAUCGUAAAACUCGGUUGGUAGAGAAGAACGUUGGUGAGAGUGGAAAGCUCAUCAAGUGACGGUAACUACCCAGAAAGGGACGGCUAACUACGUG